Molecule: ribosomal RNA, 882 nt
Filed under: Russula lepida
Lineage: Eukaryota; Fungi; Basidiomycota; Agaricomycetes; Russulales; Russulaceae
Description: eukaryotic LSU rRNA
Rfam family: Eukaryotic large subunit ribosomal RNA
Source: RNAcentral
AUUCCCCUAGUAACUGCGAGUGAAGCGGGAAAAGCUCAAAUUUAAAAUCUGGUGGUCUUUGGCCAUCCGAGUUGUAAUUUAGAGAAGCGACUUCCGCGCUGGACCGUGCACAAGUCUCCUGGAAUGGAGCGUCAUAGAGGGUGAGAAUCCCGUCUUUGGCACGGAUGCACCAGGGCUUUUGUGAUGCGCUCUCGAAGAGUCGAGUUGUUUGGGAAUGCAGCUCAAAAUGGGUGGUGAACUCCAUCUAAAGCUAAAUAUUGGCGAGAGACCGAUAGCGAACAAGUACCGUGAGGGAAAGAUGAAAAGCACUUUGGAAAGAGAGUGAAACAGUACGUGAAAUUGUUGAAAGGGAAACGCUUGAAGUCAGUCGCGUCGGUCGAGACUCAGCCUUGCCUUGGCUUGGCGUACUUCUUGGCUGACGGGUCAGCAUCAAUUUUGCCCCUCGAAUAAUGGCAAGGGAAAUGUGACACCUUUUACAGGUGUGUUAUAGUCUCUUGUCGCAUGCGAGGGUCAGGAUUGAGGAACUCAGCACGCGCCUUUGGGUGUCGGGGCCUUGGCCCACGAAACGUGCUUAGGAUGUUGGCGUAAUGGCUUUAAGCGACCCGUCUUGAAACACGGACCAAGGAGUCUAACAUGCCCGCGAGUGUUUGGGUGGAAAACCCAUGCGCGCAAUGAAAGUGAAAGUUGGGACCUCCGUCGUGGAGGGCACCGACGCCCGGACCAGACCUUCUGUGACGGAUCUGCGGUAGAGCGUGUAUGUUAGGACCCGAAAGAUGGUGAACUAUGCCUGAAUAGGGUGAAGCCAGAGGAAACUCUGGUGGAGGCUCGUAGCGAUUCUGACGUGCAAAUCGAUCGUCAAAUUUGGGUAUAGGGGCGAAAGAC